CAUUAAGGUGAAACCGCGAAUGGCUCAUUACAUCAGUUAUGGUUCCUUAGAUCGUACCCACAUUACUUGGAUAACUGUGGUAAUUCUAGAGCUAAUACAUGCAAAUAGAGUUCCGACCAGAGAUGGAAGGAAUGCUUUUAUUAGAUCAAAACCAAUCGGUGGCGGGCUUGCCUUGCUCACCGUUUGACUUGGUGACUCUGAAUAACUUUCUGCUGAUCGCACGGUCUCGUACCGGCGACGCAUCUUUCAAAUGUCUGCCUUAUCAACUGUCGAUGGUAGUUUCUGCGACUACCAUGGUUGUUACGGGUAACGGGGAAUCAGGGUUCGAUUCCGGAGAGGGAGCCUGAGAAACGGCUACCACAUCCAAGGAAGGCAGCAGGCGCGCAAAUUACCCACUCCCGGCACGGGGAGGUAGUGACGAAAAAUAACGAUACGGGACUCAUCCGAGGCCCCGUAAUCGGAAUGAGUACACUUUAAAUCCUUUAACGAGGACCCAUUGGAGGGAAAGUCUGGUGCCAGCAGCCGCGGUAACACCAGCUCCAAUAGCGUAUAUUAAAGUUGUUGCGGUUAAAAAGCUCGUAGUUGAAUCUGUGUCCCACACUGUCGGUUCACCGCUCGCGGUGUUCAACUGGCAUGUCUGUGGGACGUCCUACCGGUGGGCGCAGCCCGUCAAAAGGCGGCCCAACUCAAAAUCCUACCAC
RNAcentral lists this ribosomal RNA (701 nucleotides) under Craneopsylla minerva wolffheuglia. Its description in RNAcentral is "SSU rRNA". It matches the Rfam family "Eukaryotic small subunit ribosomal RNA", at positions 74 to 755 of the family's 1831-position model. Lineage: Eukaryota; Metazoa; Arthropoda; Insecta; Siphonaptera; Stephanocircidae. The record is from RNAcentral.